UACAGAGGGUGCGAGCGUUAAUCGGAAUUACUGGGCGUAAAGCGCACGUAGGUGGCGACGUAAGUCGGGUGUGAAAGCCCCGGGCUCAACCUGGGAAUUGCAUUCGAGACUGCAUUGCUGGAGUACGGAAGAGGAGGGCGGAAUUCCCGGUGUAGCGGUGAAAUGCGUAGAUAUGCGGAGGAACACCGAUGGCGAAGGCAGUCCCCUGGGCCUGUACUGACGCUCAUGCACGAAAGCGUGGGGAGCAAACAGG
This 253-nucleotide ribosomal RNA is filed under the name uncultured bacterium. RNAcentral describes it as "partial 16S ribosomal RNA". It matches the Rfam family "Bacterial small subunit ribosomal RNA", at positions 524 to 776 of the family's 1533-position model. The record is from RNAcentral.